Molecule: unclassified non-coding RNA, 267 nt
Filed under: Hevea brasiliensis (rubber tree)
Lineage: Eukaryota; Viridiplantae; Streptophyta; Magnoliopsida; Malpighiales; Euphorbiaceae
Source: RNAcentral
CGUCCACGGUCUGCCGUCUUACAACUAGCCAGAGGACUGCUAACUAAAGUAGCAUAGCAGAGCUGGUCUUGAUGGUCAUCCUCUACCUUUAUUUUGUAUGUUCCAGUCGAAUCUGUGACUCCCUCCACACUGUAUCUAAGCUGCGAAGUUGUCCUAUCUUCGCACUCGAUUCUGACUCUCGCACCAGGAAUGUAAGUUGUUUUGUUGGUUUCAAAGCCACAGCGGCAAGUGUCACAGUAGACGCGGCCAUGGAUAUAGAAAGGCCUC